RNAcentral lists this ribosomal RNA (253 nucleotides) under uncultured bacterium. RNAcentral's name for it is "partial 16S ribosomal RNA". It matches the Rfam family "Bacterial small subunit ribosomal RNA", at positions 524 to 776 of the family's 1533-position model. The record is from RNAcentral.
UACGUAGGAUGCAAGCGUUGUCCGGAUUUAUUGGGUUUAAAGGGUGCGUAGGCGGCCUAUUAAGUUAGUGGUGAAAACGUUCGGCUUAACCGGAUACCCGCCAUUGAUACUGAUAGACUUGAGUGCGACAGAGGGUGUUGGAAUGUGUGGUGUAGCGGUGAAAUGCUUAGAUAUCACGCAGAACACCAAUUGCGAAGGCAGAUGCCUAUGUCGUAACUGACGCUGAGGCACGAAAGCGUCGGGAGCACUCAGG